RNAcentral lists this ribosomal RNA (501 nucleotides) under uncultured bacterium. RNAcentral's name for it is "bacterial SSU rRNA". It matches the Rfam family "Bacterial small subunit ribosomal RNA", at positions 30 to 518 of the family's 1533-position model. The record is from RNAcentral.
AUUGAACGCUGGCGGCAGGCCUAACACAUGCAAGUCGAACGGUAACAGGAAACAGCUUGCUGCUUCGCUGACGAGUGGCGGACGGGUGAGUAAUGUCUGGGAAACUGCCUGAUGGAGGGGGAUAACUACUGGAAACGGUAGCUAAUACCGCAUAACGUCGCAAGACCAAAGAGGGGGACCUUCGGGCCUCUUGCCAUCAGAUGUGCCCAGAUGGGAUUAGCUUGUUGGUGGGGUAACGGCUCACCAAGGCGACGAUCCCUAGCUGGUCUGAGAGGAUGACCAGCCACACUGGAACUGAGACACGGUCCAGACUCCUACGGGAGGCAGCAGUGGGGAAUAUUGCACAAUGGGCGCAAGCCUGAUGCAGCCAUGCCGCGUGUAUGAAGAAGGCCUUCGGGUUGUAAAGUACUUUCAGCGGGGAGGAAGGUGUUGUGGUUAAUAACCGCAGCAAUUGACGUUACCCGCAGAAGAAGCACCGGCUAGCUCCGUGCCAGCAGCUGC